AAUAGAUACCCAGGUAGUCCAUGCCGUAAACGUUGGGCACUAGGUGUGGGGGACAUUCCACGUUUUCCGCGCCGUAGCUAACGCAUUAAGUGCCCCGCCUGGGGAGUACGGCCGCAAGGCUAAAACUCAAAGGAAUUGACGGGGGCCCGCACAAGCGGCGGAGCAUGCGGAUUAAUUCGAUGCAACGCGAAGAACCUUACCAAGGCUUGACAUGAACCGGAAAGAUCUGGAAACAGGUCCCCCACUUGUGGUCGGUUUACAGGUGGUGCAUGGUUGUCGUCAGCUCGUGUCGUGAGAUGUUGGGUUAAGUCCCGCAACGAGCGCAACCCUCGUUCUAUGUUGCCAGCACGUGAUGGUGGGGACUCAUAGGAGACUGCCGGGGUCAACUCGGAGGAAGGUGGGGACGACGUCAAAUCAUCAUGCCCCUUAUGUCUUGGGCUUCACGCAUGCUACAAUGGCCGGUACAAAGGGUUGCGAUACUGUGAGGUCGGAGCUAAUCCCAAAAAGCCGGUCUCAGUUCGGAUUGGGGUCUGCAACUCGACCCC
RNAcentral lists this ribosomal RNA (545 nucleotides) under uncultured bacterium. Its description in RNAcentral is "bacterial SSU rRNA". It matches the Rfam family "Bacterial small subunit ribosomal RNA", at positions 777 to 1319 of the family's 1533-position model. The record is from RNAcentral.